Ictidomys tridecemlineatus (thirteen-lined ground squirrel) is the source of this 654-nucleotide non-coding RNA. The record is from RefSeq and is a predicted model, not a curated record. NCBI's taxonomy places the organism in Eukaryota, Metazoa, Chordata, Mammalia, Rodentia, Sciuridae.
UCCAUAUGUCCUAGUUCCAGCCUUCUCCACACCCAGAGCAGGUGGGAUGCAGGGAGCAGACUGAGGGACAGACACUUCAAUCUUUGUUAGGAAGCUAUCACUCUUCCCAAAACUGGCCAAGAUGGUGGCAAGAUUGAUGUUCCCCAUCUCAGCUCUACAAUGGGUCAACUAAGUGGCCUUGGGGAAGACAAGGAAUCAGUCAAAGCAUUCUUCACAGGGAGAAAGGACCAGGACAUUUUAUCAGGUCAUGAUUGGAAGGGAGGAGUUCCAAAACAACCACAUAGAUUAGAGGUGACAAAGAUACCUCCAUCACCAUCUAUACUAAAUGCAUCUAAUUUGAAAGAAUAGAAAGUCUUCAUGGUCCCCUGGGAGGUAGAUUCUAAGAUGGAAUCAUAAGGGCUGGAGAAUUUUUAAGGAAGGGAGAAGAAGGGAGGACCUAAGAAGAAAUGGAGUAGACAAACCAUAUUUGUGGAAAGCAGUCAAUUGCUGAGGCAGGAGAGAGAAGAAAGGCUCUGUGAGAAGAGAAGCAAGGAUACUACUUGACCUUUGUGGCCCAGCAGGAAGCAAAGGGCUGGUUACCUACUUUCACAUAAAUCUGUCAUGAGGAACUUCAUUGCAUGCCAAGAAAGAUUCCAAAAAAAUCCUUAAACACAA